RNAcentral lists this unclassified non-coding RNA (2508 nucleotides) under Leishmania donovani. Its description in RNAcentral is "gene:LdHU3.21.0450(CDS-product:Rtr1/RPAP2_family_ putative)". The record is from RNAcentral. Lineage: Eukaryota; Euglenozoa; Kinetoplastea; Trypanosomatida; Trypanosomatidae.
GGACGUGCGCAUGUCUCACUCGCCAGCGGACAGCGCUGUCAAGAGCGGCAGUGGUGCCCGUGGCGGUGCGUGGGAAGUCAUCAUCGAUAAGGCCGUCUCCUUCGUCACGGAGUACCUCGCCUCCACCACACGCGAGUUCGACCCGGCAGCACCGCUCUCGCAGCACAUGCUUCACCUCAUUGACCGCGGAAGCCUGCGGGACAUCUUGGUGGAGCGAAACUACAACGAACUAUGUGGGUGCUUUGGGUGCAGCAACAAGCCACGGGGGCUGCUCGCUGCGGGCAGUGGCACGCUGUCCUUCGAGUGGGACUCCUCGCUAUCCUUAUCCGCAUCAAGCGCCGAGGGUGAUGAUACCACGGACGACGAGGCUGAUGGACGCAGCCAUGGCUCACACAGGCGCGGGCGAGGAGAGACGGCAGACGGCGCAGCGGCAGCGGCACGGUCCAUCAAAGAUCAGCCGGACGCAGAUGCUGAGGAGAUCGUCUACGAGGAGGACCUGUACACGGCAGAGUCUUUCCGACUCGCCCAGCGCCAACGCGCUAUGCUGAACCGCAUGCAGCGCAAGAAGCUGAUGCGCGAGCAGAGGGCGAUGCGAGCUGCCGCGACGUCGGAUGGUGCGGCUGCUGGUGCUGCUGUGCGACCAGCUCCGGUGGGCCCGGGCGGUACCGCACCGGUGUCCUCGCGCGUGUUGCGUAAUGGCUUGAUCGGCGCCAGUUUCCCGCAGCGCUUCUGUAGCCCCGAGUGCGAGGAAACGUACGAGUCGAGCAUUAUGCGGCGUGUGUCGCCGUACUUUGCUUACGACUACCCUUCUAUCCUCGGCGCCAUCACGAAUUUGUUUCCCAACUUGAGAGUGGCGGCGCUGCAGCAGCUCGCUGGCGCGGAGACAUCCUCUGCGGGGCUGGUGAAGCGUGUUCUGGAGACCCAGCAGCAGGAAGGCGGAGACGCACCGGCUAAUGCCUCUGCCUCUGUUUCUGCUGGUCCUGCUGGUGGUGCGCUGAAGCCGGUGCAUGUGGGGGUCUCUCUCGAAAGUAGCGAGCUCAUCCGCUGCAACCCGGGAAAGCGCGCGGCGAGAGUUGCGCACAAGGCACGCGGCGCCGACACGGCAGCGCAGGUGAAUGACGCGUCCUCGGCACCGCUCCUUCGCGAGGUGCUUGAGCAGAUGCAAGUGCUUCAGCACGUGUGGAGCAAUGAGGUGGGGCCGCGCUUAUCGGAGACGCGCCUCUCGCGAAUGGCGGAUGACGCCGCCACCGCGCCGUCUCCUACGAGUGCAGCCACUGCAGCGAGGCGCUUCGGGUCUGCACAGGGGCCGGCGUCGUUCCCGCCUCGGCCAGUCCUCCGCGGUUCGCUGCUGCUACUUGACUUCAUCAUGAACACGAGCUGCGCACAAACGCGUAGGCUCUUUCACGCGCACUAUGCACGUCAUCGUCCCGCGCUGCAGCGAUGCCUCACUGCAGCGGCCUCAUCACGCGAAACCAGGGCAAGCUCGCUCUUCUACAGCGUCUCUGCGGAUAUCGUUGCUGAGCUGGAGAAACGCAGCGUCGAGGCUUUGGCGGCGGCUGGCGCCGCUGAGGAAUCAGUCGGUGACACGGCUUUCGAUGUCGAGAAUGAGGGUCUUCGCGUAGACCCGCUGCUGCAGCAGCAGCGCCGCGAGCUGCUCGUCUCGCACAUCUUUUCCGAGGACGUGACAGCCACGCUGUCUCGUCUUCUCUUUGUGGACUACGCCGUCCUGUCCAACAUGUCGUGGUCGGGCGUGUGGUUCUCUGGUUUAUCUCUUCGCCUGCCUGCGGGGCAGCAGAGCAGCAACUGCUCGCUGUUGCGCAGUCUGCAGUUUCCAUUCGCCAUACCAGCGGUGCUGCUGCAGACUGCAGAGUCGACGCCGGAGGUGCUAGGGCUGGCCAUGAUUUUCUUGGUCGCCGCCGGCUGCUGCUCCGAGGGUGUGUGGCGCGGCUGCAUGCGGGAGGAAGUGGCCUUUGACGAGGUCGCAGAGGCGAUUGGGCUGACCCGCGACGACAUCGCCGCAGCGGUGGGGUCGCUGAUGUUGGGCGAGGAGGUAUGACGCACACGAGCGUCAGGCUGGUGUGUGGUGUGUGUAGACGCUUCUCCGCCUCCCCUUUCUCCUCGACCGGGACGCAGCCCCGCCGACGGCACCGCCAGUGUAUCCGCUGCCGCGCAGCUUUUCACGUUGUCUAACUUCUCUUGCCUCCCACAGCUGCGCUCUAACUGGCGAUUCAACUCGCAUGCACGCCAAUUGGCAAAGGUCUUCGUGCAGCGAUCAUACGAGGAGGCGCGGCGAGUGUACUUGUGCUUCGCGUGGUGCUCACAACCGCAGCUGCGGCCACCAUCGCGUCUGCCGGCCAAGGUGAGUCUGUCCCGUCUCUCUCUUCCUCUCUGCUUCGCUUGGCGCGACGUCGUGAGAAAUGGAGAGGCGAUAGUGGCGACAUUACGACAUGGCGCACAGCUGUUCAAUCCAUGCUCUUUCAUCCACCCCCUCCCCUCCCCCCGCCUCAG